This is a long non-coding RNA of Drosophila miranda, 970 nucleotides long. RefSeq lists it as uncharacterized. Lineage: Eukaryota; Metazoa; Arthropoda; Insecta; Diptera; Drosophilidae. The transcript has 3 exons. The record is from RefSeq and is a predicted model, not a curated record.
UGGAAGCUUUCGCGAUCUGAUCGAUACUGCAUCCACGAUCGCGUGCAUCGCGCCAACAGCCGCUACAUUAUUUAUUUGCCUGCACUUUUUACGACGUACGACCUACGACAUUCGUAGGUGCAUACAUUACCGACAUCGUCUUCGCUCCUGCACCAGGCUUUACUUCAUUGUUUUGACCGGCAGGUAGCACCUUCCGGUGGCCAAGAAUACCUCUUGCGUGCCGCGUGCCCGCUCCCAUUGUUUAUCAGGGACUUAACCUUUGGGUUCGGCCACUGCCAAAGCUCUCUUCUCCGCCUUUCCAUUCCGCUUGCCGUUGGUACCUUAUCAGCGGGUGAUUCCGCAGUAGAUAGUCCUCUCGGAAGGUGCAAGGGAUGUGCGUCUGGCUGGAAUUUGGCAGCCACCAGCUGUGCUGCUGCGGGCCAUAGCCAUGCUGUAUCGCUAAGUCGACAAUGUGACGUCCAGUCCGCUGCAGGGACAUAAUGUCAGCAGCCCCCUCAUUCAUAUGCGCCGAAUCAAACGCUGGGCUUCAGCUUCGACACACAAGUCUUAUGCACCCUACGCUACGCUGCCACAAGCUGAGUCCUAUCAGAUUUUCCCACGCCAGAUGAAAUCCUUUUAAGCAUUACCGAGCCGUAUUCGAGGCAGACCGAGUGCUACCCCAGCAAGACAGAAUCGUUUCCCAGGAGGACAGAAGCGCAUUCCUUGCAAGAGCCCGAUCCUAACAACCGCUGUCAUCUUCCGACCUGGCCAUCGACAACUAUCUGAAAGACUUUGGCUAUGGCAAACAAGGGAGGGGCUACGCGGACUACUAGACUCUGGAUAGAUCUCGUUGUUGUUAAGUUUAAGGAUAUACAAGUCUAUAUGUAGUAGUUAUAUAUGAUAUAUACAUAUAUAGAUAUAAAUGUUGUCCACUUGCUUAUUUUUUUAUACUAAGUUAAUUUAUUCUUAAUAAAAUUAUUGAAUAAUCGUC